UAGUCCUACAUGCAUAAAGUGAGAGAGAAUUGUUCUUCGGUUUGAAGAUGAUGCUGAUGUCAGUGAAACUAUCCUGGGUGUGUGUGCUUCAGCUGUUAUAAUCUCCCCUGGACUCUGCCUGGCUUGGGUGUUUUCAGACCUUGCUAAAGUCUUCAUAAAAACCAAGAUGGAGUUUCAAGCCAACAUCGGAGGAAGAAUAUCUUAACAGCUAACCUGAUUCAUGGCAACAGACUUGAAAUCAGAAUGAUCAUCAGAGACCUCGAGUGAAUAAAAGUGAUGGUUUUGAAGGCGCCAGGCUAUAAAUAAUCCCAAGUCAUCAAAACCAAGAAAAACACACCUACCCUAAGAACGGAGAUUCCAGAAAAAGCCAGAAUUUCCAGUGGUCCACCUAAAAUGCUAGUUACUAUUAGAAACUCAAGGAUGAAUUAAUUGGAUGUUUUAAGUUUGCCGUUAAUAAAAUGAGAUUAAAAAUAAACUUAGAUGAAUAGA
Ornithorhynchus anatinus (platypus) is the source of this 489-nucleotide long non-coding RNA. RefSeq lists it as uncharacterized. NCBI's taxonomy places the organism in Eukaryota, Metazoa, Chordata, Mammalia, Monotremata, Ornithorhynchidae. The record is from RefSeq and is a predicted model, not a curated record. The transcript has 2 exons.